Triticum dicoccoides is the source of this 1211-nucleotide long non-coding RNA. RefSeq lists it as uncharacterized. Lineage: Eukaryota; Viridiplantae; Streptophyta; Magnoliopsida; Poales; Poaceae. The transcript has 3 exons. The record is from RefSeq and is a predicted model, not a curated record.
CGGCUGAGCCCGCGUCACCUGAUCCCCUGGCAGAAAGAAAAAAAAAACCGUCCUCGAUCCCCCUCGCGCUAUCUCGUCUCGCACCCGACUCGCUCCCGCACAGGCUAGGGUUCCCGUUGCAGCCGCCGCCGCCGCCACCAGUCCCCUACUCGUCUGCUCCGCGCCGCGGCUAGCUCCGGCGACAUGGCCGGAGGGUAGGAGCCCAUCUUCCGUCGCUUCUCCAACCUCGGGCACGACCCCUACCUUCCCUGGCGGCCAGGAGCAGCUCGUGUCGGUCCCGUCGGCGCCCUACUCCGGCGGUCGGUGCCCCACUCCGGCCGCGACCCAGUCCGUCGAGAAGGAACCCCGUUCGUUCCCCCUUCCCUCCUCAGUCCGUGGCCAUGAGCUCGGCCGGCAAGGAGCUUAUUCUCACAGCAUAGCUCAAAAGAACUGGCCCUGAAGCGGACUCGCGCGGAGGAGCUCCGCCUCUGGGCCAGGUGCGUAGCUGGCGUCCAUCUCGGCGCCGGGGAGGGAGGAACAACGGCGCGGCUGAGUCCGCUGCCUUCGUCACUCGCCGCUGUCCGCCGAUGUGGUUGCCUGCAUCUUCAUGAGCCACGGCCGGCCACCCUGUCGUCGCUAGUCAUUGUCGCGCCAGAGAUAUCCUUCGACCGUUGCUGUGUCCCGCCGGCACCUAGGCGCCCUUGUCCGGACAAGUUCCACUGUUCCCCUCCAGGCCCUCCUCAACACCCAACCGCAGCCAGCAACCAAGGGGGGGGGGGGCUUACUUCUGUAAUUUGCAAAAAUAUCUUACGACCGGUUUGGCUACGCCACAAAACGCAGUAAAGUCUUCUUCACCGCACGCACAGGCAGGUAGAGUUCGGCAGCAAUAACGAACAUCAGUAGAUAAUAGGCUACGGUUGUAAACGUGUAGUAGCUAGAUGAAAAAUAUAGUGGAUGGAAGUAGCACCGUGGUGUAGUACUAUAAUAUACGCGUCAAUUAGACUAAUGAUGAUCAGCGGCAGCGACGGCGGCGGAGUAAUUAGCAGAUGGAUAAUGAGAACUAGUAGAACAAGCAUGGCAUCUAAAUAUUGAUCUUGUGUCAAGACUUCAGGAAAAGUGACUACAAUAUCACCUUCAUUCUUGUUCUAGUGUACUGUCUUCAUUAUUUAGAUCGUCGACAGUGGCUACCAAGUGGGUGGUGGGUGGGCUCUGAAUUUCUUCGCCGUUCGCAU